RNAcentral lists this ribosomal RNA (468 nucleotides) under uncultured bacterium. RNAcentral describes it as "partial 16S ribosomal RNA". It matches the Rfam family "Bacterial small subunit ribosomal RNA", at positions 28 to 507 of the family's 1533-position model. The record is from RNAcentral.
GACGAACGCUGGCGGCGUGCUUAACACAUGCAAGUCGAACGGAAAGGCCCUGCUUUUGUGGGGUGCUCGAGUGGCGAACGGGUGAGUAACACGUGAGUAACCUGCCCUUGACUUUGGGAUAACUUCAGGCAACUGGGGCUAAUACCGGAUAGGAGCUCCUGCUGCAUGGUGGGGGUUGGAAAGUUUCGGCGGUUGGGGAUGGACUCGCGGCUUAUCAGCUUGUUGGUGGGGUAGUGGCUUACCAAGGCUUUGACGGGUAGCCGGCCUGAGAGGGUGACCGGCCACAUUGGGACUGAGAUACGGCCCAGAGUCCUACGGGAGGCAGCAGUGGGGAAUAUUGCACAAUGGGCGGAAGCCUGAUGCGGCAGCGCCGCGUGCGGGAUGACGGCCUUCGGGUUGUAAACCGCUUUAGCCUGUGACGAAGCGUGAGUGACGGUAAUGGGUAAAGAAGCACCGGCUAACUACGUG